GGGGUGCCGGCGGUGCGUGCGGAGCGGCUCCGGUUCAGUUUCAGCCCACGCGCGGCGGUGUGCCGAGCGGGGCCCGGUACAGGGGCUGCUCCCGGCAGCGCGACCUCAGCCGGGGGGGCUCGGCGGAGAGGCCGCGUCCGCGUCCUUGCGGGCCGGGGCCGGGGCCGGCGGCUCGGUGGGAGGCUGCCCGCUUCUGGCCUCGGGGCCGUCUCCGCGUUUGGCACGCGCGGGCAGAGCCGGGGCUGCUGCCGGCCGUGGGUGGGCCGGGACCCGGGCUUUCCUCGUGCGUUCGGGCGGUGCCACGGGUCUGAGGGCUGCCGCUGCUCUGGGGAUGCCGCCGGGCUGGCGGUGCUGGCCUUGUCUCCUCGCCCUUGCCGUAAUGGGAGGGUGGAGUGCCUAACCGCUUCACCAAGGAGCAACAUCUGGGACCACAGACACAAAUUGGAGAAAACUGAUGGGAAAUCAAAAUCUGUUCACACCGUGUGCACCUCCAGAACAUCAGCCUCCACAGAUGGAGAGUGACAGUGGCACACGCUCAAGUGCCAAAUGCAUGGCAUGUCCCUGGCCAGAGGAUGACAGGGCAGAAGAAGUGAAGCCAGAGAUUACUAGAGGCAAAGAAGGCAAGAAAGAGACAUACAGAGCUCAUUUCCCUCAGGCUGGUUUCUUCCGCUGUGCUGAGACAGAGCUCAAGUUCCUGGUGAGGACAGCCACCACUGUUGAGUACGAGUACUCCUUCUGGGAAUGUCACCUGCCUGAUGGGAUCCCCGCUGGAUGGAUGGAGGCUGGACUGGUGUUCGACAUCCAUGCUACGCUGGGUGCUGUCGAGGCCAUUCAUCUCCUUCAUUUCCUGUGUCUCACAGAAGGAAAUGUGAACACAUCUGAGAUGCGUAUCGGCCAUGUCCUCAAUGGGAACAUGCUCCUGGAGAAGCCCAAUGCAGUGAAGCCAUUCCACACAGAGUUGAGAGAUCCCAGUUUCUCCCCCAUGGGAGUCAUCUUGCUUUCUGCCGCAUUCCCCUUCAUCUGCGUGCACUCCCUUGUGCUGCUCUACCAUGUCAUCAGGGCUGCCAACGUCACCCUUCACCUCUACCUCAUCCCCAACAACCACGGCCUGGAAAAGGUGGUGGACAAGGAUGAGAAGAGAUGAGGCUAUUCACUCUUGAUGAACAAAUCUCCCCAGACCAAACGACUGCUGAACUCUAACACAUGAUACCGUGCAUCUGGUCCUUCACAGGCAGAGAUAAACCCUCAAGUGAGUUGGGCCACGUGCCUCACAACUGCUGUGAAGGAUGGCAAUGCUCUGACACACCAACCUGCUUCUGCCAGGAGCUGAAAUUCAUCUACCUGACAUCAGACAGCCGCCAGCUCCACACCGAGAUCUACAACAAAGACCUCCAGCUCUCUUUGCAGCUCUCUUUGAUGAAGGUCGCCCAGGAAGGUGAAAAGGAGCGUGACCCGCUGUGGGCUGCCUUCCCGAGGGCAGGCGCGGAUCUGCAGAUCCCUCCGCCCCGCUCGUCACGGAACCAGCCCGUAAACCGUUGACAGCAGGGCUGCAUUUUGUGGAGCAGCACCGAGAGCAGCUGAUCCAACGUGUGACAUCAGUCAGCAGUGCCCUGAACCGGCUGUACGGGCACGUCCUGAGCAAUGAGCGGUACCAGAACAUCCGAGCAGUGUCCACCAUGCAGGAGCAGAUGCGGCUCCUCUACAGCUUCACACCCAGAUAGGACGUCGCCUGCAAGGAUCUCUUCCUGGAUGCUCUGAAGGAUACCAACAGUCACCUCAUCCAGAACCUCCAGGGACAGUAAAAACCAUCUCAGGGAGGUUCUGAGUGAGCUCAGCUCAUGGACGCCUUGGGGAAGAUGAGCCCUUGGAUGGGCUCUAAAUGACUCAGGGAGCCCAGAGCUUGGGUAGUCUUUAACCCAACCAACCUGCAGGAGAUCCCCCUUAGCACCCCCUUAGUCCCCGUUGCCACAGCGCUGACCCCAGAACCAUCCUGUUAUCCCAUCAGGGACCAGGUUCAUGCACCAGCAUGAACCUCUGUGUGCCAGCACAUGGAGCCAUAACCUUCACAGAGGUUUCCAUCCUAAUUCCGCAGAACAAGGAGCUUAGCAAUCUUUUGCUAAGGCAGCACCACCCAAGAUAGAAGCACAGUUACUCCUACAUGGAUGUUAUAUAAAAGAGAUGAUCACAAGGUGAUCUCUUUUUAUAGUUUCUAAUUGGGUACUUGGUUUCAUCUUUUCUGGGCUUGCUCUUUCUGGGACUGGAAGAUUCUGUCUCAUUACAAUCUCAUUUUCAUACUGAUGGUACAUGCUUUAUCACAUAAUUAGCCCUCAAUGAGCCGAAAGACCAAUUUCAGGGCAAUUUUCCUUCCUUGCUGACACCAGAGUAUUAUCACUUUUGACACACUUGGGGCUGAAUUGUUCCCUUUUCACUCAUUCUUCCCAUAUUUGUCAUCAAUUUUUCCCACUUUUCUGUCCUCGGUGGACAACUUUGAGACUCUGAACCCGUUGUUUUUCCCUUUCACUUUUCUUCGGUGGACUCUGGGAGCAAUGCAUUAGCAGCAAUUGCUUCCAGAGGUAAAGAGAUGUACAGGGACAGUUUUCCCUAUCAUCAUUUAAUUCAUUUCAUUUAAAUUGACCUUUGUGGUUCAGCCAUUCAGUUCUUGUAAUUCCCAAACACACCAGGGCAGGGAAUUAUCCCUCCAAUAAUAACCUCCAACAGUGUGAGAAGAUCAACAUUAAAAGUACCA
Lagopus muta (rock ptarmigan) is the source of this 2746-nucleotide RNA transcript. It is a transcript of the gene named NACHT, LRR and PYD domains-containing protein 1-like, with no coding region annotated. The record is from RefSeq and is a predicted model, not a curated record. The transcript is spliced from 7 exons. Lineage: Eukaryota; Metazoa; Chordata; Aves; Galliformes; Phasianidae.